This 1434-nucleotide ribosomal RNA is filed under the name uncultured organism. Its description in RNAcentral is "16S ribosomal RNA". It matches the Rfam family "Bacterial small subunit ribosomal RNA". The record is from RNAcentral.
CAGGCUUAACACAUGCAAGUCGAGGGGCAGCAUGGUCUUAGCUUGCUAAGGCCGAUGGCGACCGGCGCACGGGUGAGUAACACGUAUCCAACCUGCCGUCUACUCUUGGACAGCCUUCUGAAAGGAAGAUUAAUACAAGAUGGCAUCAUGAGUCCGCACGUUCACAUGAUUAAAGGUAUUCCGGUAGACGAUGGGGAUGCGUUCCAUUAGAUAGUAGGCGGGGUAACGGCCCACCUAGUCUUCGAUGGAUAGGGGUUCUGAGAGGAAGGUCCCCCACAUUGGAACUGAGACACGGUCCAAACUCCUACGGGAGGCAGCAGUGAGGAAUAUUGGUCAAUGGGCGAGAGCCUGAACCAGCCAAGUAGCGUGAAGGAUGACUGCCUUAUGGGUUGUAAACUUCUUUUAUAAAGGAAUAAAGUCGGGUAUGGAUACCCGUUUGCAUGUACUUUAUGAAUAAGGAUCGGCUAACUCCGUGCCAGCAGCCGCGGUAAUACGGAGGAUUCGAGCGUUAUCCGGAUUUAUUGGGUUUAAAGGGAGCGUAGAUGGAUGUUUAAGUCAGUUGUGAAAGUUUGCGGCUCAACCGUAAAAUUGCAGUUGAUACUGGAUAUCUUGAGUGCAGUUGAGGCAGGCGGAAUUCGUGGUGUAGCGGUGAAAUGCUUAGAUAUCACGAAGAACUCCGAUUGCGAAGGCAGCCUGCUAAGCUGCAACUGACAUUGAGGCUCGAAAGUGUGGGUAUCAAACAGGAUUAGAUACCCUGGUAGUCCACACGGUAAACGAUGAAUACUCGCUGUUUGCGAUAUACGGCAAGCGGCCAAGCGAAAGCGUUAAGUAUUCCACCUGGGGAGUACGCCGGCAACGGUGAAACUCAAAGGAAUUGACGGGGGCCCGCACAAGCGGAGGAACAUGUGGUUUAAUUCGAUGAUACGCGAGGAACCUUACCCGGGCUUAAAUUGCAGAUGAAUUACGGUGAAAGCCGUAAGCCGCAAGGCAUCUGUGAAGGUGUUGCAUGGUUGUCGUCAGCUCGUGCCGUGAGGUGUCGGCUUAAGUGCCAUAACGAGCGCAACCCUUGUUGUCAGUUACUAACAGGUUCUGCUGAGGACUCUGACAAGACUGCCAUCGUAAGAUGUGAGGAAGGUGGGGAUGACGUCAAAUCAGCACGGCCCUUACGUCCGGGGCUACACACGUGUUACAAUGGGGGGUACAGAGGGCCGCUACCACGCGAGUGGAUGCCAAUCCCAAAAACCUCUCUCAGUUCGGACUGGAGUCUGCAACCCGACUCCACGAAGCUGGAUUCGCUAGUAAUCGCGCAUCAGCCACGGCGCGGUGAAUACGUUCCCGGGCCUUGUACACACCGCCCGUCAAGCCAUGGGAGCCGGGGGUACCUGAAGUGCGUAACCGCGAGGAGCGCCCUAGGGUAAAACUGGUGACUGGGGC